Molecule: ribosomal RNA, 674 nt
Filed under: uncultured Curvibacter sp.
Lineage: Bacteria; Pseudomonadati; Pseudomonadota; Betaproteobacteria; Burkholderiales; Comamonadaceae
Description: bacterial SSU rRNA
Rfam family: Bacterial small subunit ribosomal RNA
Source: RNAcentral
AGUGGCGAACGGGUGAGUAAUGCAUCGGAACGUACCGUGUAGUGGGGGAUAACGUAGCGAAAGUUACGCUAAUACCGCAUACGAUCUAUGGAUGAAAGCGGGGGAUCGCAAGACCUCGCGCGAUUGGAGCGGCCGAUAUCAGAUUAGGUAGUUGGUGGGGUAAAGGCUCACCAAGCCGACGAUCUGUAGCUGGUCUGAGAGGACGACCAGCCACACUGGGACUGAGACACGGCCCAGACUCCUACGGGAGGCAGCAGUGGGGAAUUUUGGACAAUGGGCGCAAGCCUGAUCCAGCCAUGCCGCGUGCAGGAUGAAGGCCUUCGGGUUGUAAACUGCUUUUGUACGGAACGAAAAGGUUUGGCCUAAUAAGCUGAGCUCAUGACGGUACCGUAAGAAUAAGCACCGGCUAACUACGUGCCAGCAGCCGCGGUAAUACGUAGGGUGCGAGCGUUAAUCGGAAUUACUGGGCGUAAAGCGUGCGCAGGCGGUUAUGUAAGACAGAUGUGAAAUCCCCGGGCUCAACCUGGGAACUGCAUUAGUGACUGCAUAGCUGGAGUACGGCAGAGGGGGAUGGAAUUCCGCGUGUAGCAGUGAAAUGCGUAGAUAUGCGGAGGAACACCGAUGGCGAAGGCAAUCCCCUGGGCCUGUACUGACGCUCAUGCACGAAAGCGUGG